Molecule: ribosomal RNA, 207 nt
Filed under: uncultured bacterium
Lineage: Bacteria
Description: partial 16S ribosomal RNA
Rfam family: Bacterial small subunit ribosomal RNA
Source: RNAcentral
CGCGUAGGCGGUGCGGUAAGUCCGGGGUGGAAUCUUAGGGCUCAACCCUAAAAUUGCCUCGGAUACUGCUGUACUUGAGUCAGUGAGAGGAGGGCGGAAUUCCUGGUGUAGCAGUGAAAUGCGUAGAUAUCAGGAGGAAGGCCCGUGGCGAAGGCGGCCCUCUGGCGCUUGACUGACGCUGAGGCGCGAAAGCGUGGGUAGCAAACA